Astyanax mexicanus (Mexican tetra) is the source of this 716-nucleotide long non-coding RNA. RefSeq lists it as uncharacterized. The record is from RefSeq and is a predicted model, not a curated record. The transcript has 4 exons. NCBI's taxonomy places the organism in Eukaryota, Metazoa, Chordata, Actinopteri, Characiformes, Acestrorhamphidae.
CAGAUGGGAGUUUUACUUACACAAAAGGGUUCUGAGGGCAGAAAGAAAACUGAUUGGUUCAGAGAAACAACCAAUCAAUUUAAAGAAGAGGCGGGGGAAAAGGCAGGAUCUGCUAAAUGAAAAAAAAGACCGGGCAGUUGGAUCCAGCCAUCUUUGAGGAGUGAAAAAUCACAGUUUUUGAAGGGAAUUAUUGAGAAAAUGAAUGUGUUACAAGAUUUGAGGUCAGGAGGACUUUAUAUACAGGAUGCAAGACUUGGAAGUGUUGGGCCUUAUCCACUUUACAUGGAAAGUUUUGAAACCCUUGUGGAGUGCAACAAAGUAUCUGACGAGAAAGACCCUAAAAGCUGUGGAAAAAGCUUUGGAGACGAACUGGCAUACAUUUGACCUGGCAACUCACGGUCUUGGGCCUGCAGUUAUAAAAGGCACUUUUGAAUUAAUUGAUGCAUGUCUUAAAGAGAACAUGAAAGCAUUACAAUCAUGAAUUAGAACCAAUUUCAACUGUUUUGUCUGCUUACAUUAUGUUCAUAGUUAUAUACACUAGCUUCAUGCUUGAAACCUUGUUAUAUGCCUACUAACUACAAUAUGUGUUGGUUACUUUGUUGCUAAAAAUACAUUUGGGAUUGUUUUUUUUACUUUGUUAUGUACGUAUUUUAGUUUUUGAAUAUUGUUUUUGUGUGUACAAUGUAAUUGUAAAUAAAGAUUUACAAUCCUUUUUA